This 346-nucleotide ribosomal RNA is filed under the name uncultured bacterium. Its description in RNAcentral is "bacterial SSU rRNA". It matches the Rfam family "Bacterial small subunit ribosomal RNA", at positions 28 to 376 of the family's 1533-position model. The record is from RNAcentral.
GAUGAACGCUAGCGGCAGGCCUAACACAUGCAAGUCGAGGGGCAGCACGUCUUCGGAUGGUGGCGACCGGCGCACGGGUGCGUAACGCGUAUGCAACCUACCUCUUACAGUGGGAUAGCCCAGAGAAAUUUGGAUUAAUACCGCAUAGUAUACAGAUUCAGCAUUGGGACUGUAUUAAACAUUUANGGGUAANAGAUGGGCAUGCGUUCUAUUAGUUAGUUGGAGUGGUAACGGCACCCCAAGACAGCGAUAGAUAGGGCCCUGAGAGGGGGAUCCCCCANACUGGUACUGAGACACGGACCAGACUCCUACGGGAGGCAGCAGUGAGGAAUAUUGGACAAUGGGC